UGGGGAAUUUUGGACAAUGGGGGAAACCCUGAUCCAGCCAUCCCGCGUGUGCGAUGAAGGCCUUCGGGUUGUAAAGCACUUUUGGCAGGAAAGAAACGUCGCGGGUUAAUACCCCGCGAAACUGACGGUACCUGCAGAAUAAGCACCGGCUAACUACGUGCCAGCAGCCGCGGUAAUACGUAGGGUGCAAGCGUUAAUCGGAAUUACUGGGCGUAAAGCGUGCGCAGGCGGUUCGGAAAGAAAGAUGUGAAAUCCCAGAGCUUAACUUUGGAACUGCAUUUUUAACUACCGGGCUAGAGUGUGUCAGAGGGAGGUGGAAUUCCGCGUGUAGCAGUGAAAUGCGUAGAUAUGCGGAGGAACACCGAUGGCGAAGGCAGCCUCCUGGGAUAACACUGACGCUCAUGCACGAAAGCGUGGGGAGCAAACAGGAUUAGAUACCCUGGUAGUCCACGCUGUAAACGAUGUCGA
This 468-nucleotide ribosomal RNA is filed under the name uncultured bacterium. RNAcentral's name for it is "partial 16S ribosomal RNA". It matches the Rfam family "Bacterial small subunit ribosomal RNA", at positions 355 to 815 of the family's 1533-position model. The record is from RNAcentral.